RNAcentral lists this ribosomal RNA (914 nucleotides) under uncultured marine archaeon. RNAcentral's name for it is "bacterial SSU rRNA". It matches the Rfam family "Archaeal small subunit ribosomal RNA", at positions 1 to 922 of the family's 1478-position model. The record is from RNAcentral.
UUCCGGUUGAUCCUGCCGGACCUGACUGCUAUCGGAUUGAUACUAAGCCAUGCGAGUCUUUGUAGUAAUACAAGGCAUACGGCUCAGUAACGCGUAGUCAACCUACCCUAUGGACAAGAAUAAUCUCGGGAAACUGAGCAUAAUUCUUGAUAGAUCAUAAUGCCUGGAAUGGUUUAUGGUUAAAAUGAUUCGUCGCCAUAGGAUGGGACUGCGGCCUAUCAGCUUGUUGGUGAGGUAAUGGCCCACCAAGGCGAUUACAGGUACGGGCUCUGAGAGGAGAAGCCCGGAGAUGGGUACUGAGACAAGGACCCAGGCCCUAUGGGGCGCAGCAGGCGAGAAAACUUUGCAAUGUGCGAAAGCACGACAAGGUUAGUCCGAGUGAUUUCUGCUAAAGAGAUCUUUUGCUAGUUAUAAAACCACUAGUGAAUAAGGGGUGGGCAAGUUCUGGUGUCAGCCGCCGCGGUAAAACCAGCACCUCAAGUGGUCAGGAUGAUUAUUGGGCCUAAAGCAUCCGUAGCCGGCUCUGUAAGUUUUCGGUUAAAUCUAUGCGCUCAACGUAUGGGCUGCCGAAAAUACUGUAGAGAUAGGGAGUGGGAGAGGUAGACGGUACUCGGUAGGAAGGGGUAAAAUCCUUUGAUCUAUCGAUGACCACCUGUGGCGAAGGCGGUCUACCAGAACACGUUCGACGGUGAGGGAUGAAAGCUGGGGGAGCAAACCGGAUUAGAUACCCGGGUAGUCCCAGCCGUAAACGAUGCAGACUCGAUGAUGCGUUGGCAUAUAGCCAGUGCAGUGUCGCAGGGAAGCCGUUAAGUCUGCCGCCUGGGAAGUACGUACGCAAGUAUGAAACUUAAAGGAAUUGGCGGGGGAGCACCACAAGGGGUGAAGCCUGCGGUUCAAUUGGAGUCAACGCCGGG